CCUGCCCCUAAGGUGGUGCAGAUAUGGCUGCUGUGUCACAUGUGUGUCAGUAGGUGGCAGAGAAAAGAGAGGCUGUACCUCGACUCAGUAUUCUAAUCUAUGAAUAUCGGGAUGAUUAGUAGCCUAACAUU
This 131-nucleotide small nucleolar RNA is filed under the name Mus caroli (Ryukyu mouse). RNAcentral describes it as "predicted gene, 25496 (MGP_CAROLIEiJ_G0035963.1)". It matches the Rfam family "Small nucleolar RNA SNORA17". Rfam says of the family: snoRNA ACA 17 belongs to the H/ACA family of snoRNAs and is predicted to guide pseudouridylation of the 28S rRNA at positions U4659 and U4598. It shares the same host gene together with ACA43. Lineage: Eukaryota; Metazoa; Chordata; Mammalia; Rodentia; Muridae. The record is from RNAcentral.